Non-coding RNA from Pelodiscus sinensis (Chinese soft-shelled turtle), 1716 nucleotides. The record is from RefSeq and is a predicted model, not a curated record. Lineage: Eukaryota; Metazoa; Chordata; Testudines; Trionychidae.
UCUGGCCAUUUUGCCCAACCCUGGACUAGAUGAAUUCAGACCACAAAUUGUUGUGAACUUAUUAUCAAUGUAGAAGGAUGUCUUCAUCACAAGUCCCACUUAAGUCAAGGAGUUUUGAAGUGGGUGGCUGAAUUUUUUGUCAACUUGUAAGUCACAGCUGUCAGUAGUGUUUGCAAUCAAAAUGUUGUGUGGUAGAGGAGCUUGGUGCUGCAUUGAGCAUGGAUGAUAGGGAAGGAGAAGAUGUUGUGGGAUGCAUGGCACCCCAAUGCGGUUGCCCCUGAUGGUGCAACCUAAAUGAAUACUAAUUCCUACCAAACCACAUCUUCCUGUCCUAAAAACACCUCGGAAAUUCAAUACAAAAAACUUGACAGAGUGGUGGUAUGUCACCCCUUGCAGAAUGGUGAGUUGAUUUAAAACUUCUGAAAAUCAGGAAAUAAAAUGGUUUCACAUUUCCUCGCAUCCUUCAUUCUGCUUUUUCAGCAAUGCCCCAGUUGUGGCAUGAAUAUUCAUAAUUGCAUUCUCUUCUCCUCCUCUCCCUCCCCCAGGUCUCGAAUUUUGCUUAACUCCUUGUUCUGCAUUGGGACAAUAUGCCACCGAGCAAUUCUAACAAUGUAGUCUCUCGAUACAACUGAAAUGCAGACUUGUAGUUGAAAUAAAUACUGCCAAAUGUAUAACCAAUUAAUUACAAUCAGCUGUAUUUGAACAGUGUAUACAUAAUCCUACUUUCAACAAAAGUGAGACAUCCCAGUUUGUGUUGCCAGCACAUCUCUGGUUUUUGUUUUUUGUUGUGGACAAAAACUUGGAGUAAGUGCUAAGAAUAAACCCUUCUCUUGCAACCCACAGCUCAUCAAUAUGUGAGCUGUGCUACUUCUGAGAAGGGACAAUCUUUGAAUAUGCUUUACAGUAGAACAGAAUUUCUAUGAACUGGAUAACUCUGCCUGCAUCAAGUUCUGUCUAAAUAUCUAACAAAGGUUUAACUUGUUUUAUUUGGAAGCUGGUGAAAUACUAUUGGCAUUAAUUAUGGCAGUGACAACGCUUAUUGGAGUCAAAAUAACUGGAACAUUGGGUCACAAACCAUGCUUUUGUGUCUAGGUAAGAAGUGCUGAUGUGACUCCUCAAAUGAAUGUGACCUCUUUAGGUGGAGCACACAUUUAGAAAGGAAGGCGAGGGGUUACAAAAAAGCUUCCUCCUCCAGAAAUGAGAAGCUGGCCUGCUCAUAAGGCACUAGCUUAUCUAACGCUCAACAUGGAUUGAAAACCUUGUCAGAACGGGAAAAUUGCUGGGGGACUUAAUUCUACUAUGCAGACCACAUUUCAUUGUGACGAAAGAGUAGUUGGAAAGACAGUAUCAUGACACCAACUCGUUUGGCAGUGUCUGACAGUCACUGACACACAUUCCAAAUGAAGACCAGGAAGUGACUUGGAUAUGGAAAACUCUUGAGCUAUAUUGCAGAGGUCUGAGACACCUCCCUAAGCCAUGGACAAUCUGAAUGUCUUGAGAUUGCAUCUCUUCACUGGAUGCUACCCAUCACAUUUUUUUUAAACCUCAUAUUUUGGAGGAUUUAAUAGAAUGAGUCAACUUCCAGUUGACAGGAAACUUCAGGAUGAAUUGCUGCUAUAUGGACUUGGUUCAGUUGAAUGUUGUGAGCCCUGAACUAUGAUCCUGAAAUUUAUUUGUGAAUAAAUGAGAAUCAUUCAAUAAAUUACUGUGUGCAAA